UGCGGAGGAUCAUUAUCGUAGGGCUUCAGCCCUGUCGAGAUAGAACCCUUACCUUUUUAAGUACCUUUCGUUUCCUCGGCAGCUUCGGCUACCAAUAGGGACCCCAAAAAACACUUUGCAGUACCUAUAACAGUCUAAACAAACAAACAAAAAUUAAAACUUUCAACAACGGAUCUCUUAGUUCUAGCAUCGAUAAAGAACGCAGCGAAAUGCGAUAAGUAGUGUAAAUUGCAGAAUUCAGUAAAUCAUCGAAUCUUUAAACGCACAUUGCGCCCUUUAGUAUUCCUUAGGGCAUGCCUGUUCGAGCGUCAUUUAAACCUUCAAGCUCAGCUUAGUGUUGGGUAACUAUCCGCCGCCUUCGGGCGCGUGGACUCGCCUCAAAAUUAUUGGCGGCCAGUACAUUAGCUUCGAGCGCAGCAGAAACGCGAACUCGGGCCCGUCGUAUUAGCUCCCAGAAGCUAUCUUCACAAUUUUAACCUCGGAUCAGGUAGGGAUACCCGCUGAACUUAAGCAUAUCAAUAAGCGGAGGA
RNAcentral lists this ribosomal RNA (530 nucleotides) under uncultured Pleosporales. RNAcentral's name for it is "eukaryotic LSU rRNA". The stretch from base 158 to 311 matches the Rfam family "5.8S ribosomal RNA". Lineage: Eukaryota; Fungi; Ascomycota; Dothideomycetes; Pleosporales. The record is from RNAcentral.